UGCAGGUACAGUAUGCAAGUGGAAAAAGUCCUGCAGACCCUGGGAGAGAAUAAAAGCAUGAGGGAGGCUGUGGUGGAUUAGAGAGGAAAAAUGCACACUGAAGCAGGGGAUGCCCUGCUGACACUACCUGUUGAAUCCACUGCCGCCAUGUUUCUCCCCCUCCUUCUCGGUGUUUUGUCCAUCUCUCAAGAGUCAGGAUCUCCAUCCACUGUAUGAUCCACCCAGGCUGACUCUUCUAAGCAUGAAGCAGACAGAAUAACUGGGGCAGAGCUGGAAAGAGAGAAGAGGGACAGCAUGAUUCCUGCUGCCAUGUGUUCAGAACCAAAAUGGAGAGAGAUUCAGAAAGUCAGAGGAAGCAAACAAGGGUUAUCAUGACCCUACCCCUGGAUGGUAACUGGAAAUACACCAAAAUGGAAAGAUUCAGACCUGUGCAACCCCCUCCCUCCCCCUCCCCCAUUUUGCAUUUUCUUAAGUGUCAAAGGAUA
Gallus gallus (chicken) is the source of this 485-nucleotide long non-coding RNA. The record is from Ensembl. Lineage: Eukaryota; Metazoa; Chordata; Aves; Galliformes; Phasianidae.